AGGACGAACGCUGGCGGCGUGCUUCACACAUGCAAGUCGAACGGGGCUCAUUCGGUGGUAACACCGGAGAAGGCCUAGUGGCGAACGGGUGCGUAACACGUGAAGAACCUGCCCCGAAGACUGGGAUAACAGCGGGAAACCGCUGCUAAUACCGGAUGACCCCACCAGGCCGCAUGGCCAGGUGAGGAAAUGGGCCUACCGCUUCGGGAGGGCCUUCGCGGCCUAUCAGCUUGUUGGUGGGGUAACGGCCUACCAAGGCUACGACGGGUAGCUGGUCUGAGAGGACGACCAGCCACACUGGGACUGAGACACGGCCCAGACUCCUACGGGAGGCAGCAGUGGGGAAUCUUGCGCAAUGGGCGAAAGCCUGACGCAGCAACGCCGCGUGAGGGAUGAAGGUCUUCGGGUUGUAAACCUCUUUCGAGCAGGGACGAUUGUGACGGUACCUGCAGAAGAAGCUCCGGCCAACUACGCGCCAGCAGCCGCGGU
RNAcentral lists this ribosomal RNA (489 nucleotides) under uncultured bacterium. RNAcentral's name for it is "SSU rRNA". It matches the Rfam family "Bacterial small subunit ribosomal RNA", at positions 26 to 521 of the family's 1533-position model. The record is from RNAcentral.